CGCACCUUGCGCCCUCUGGUAUUCCGGAGGGCAUGCCUGUUUGAGUGUCAUUAAAUUCUCAACUUCAAAAGUUUUCAUUAACUUAUUGAAGCUUGGAUGUGGAGGCUUGUUGGCGUCUUAGAUGUUCAGCUCCUCUUAAAUGCAUUAGUGGAAUUCCCGUUUGGUUGGUCCAACUUGGUGUGAUAAUUAUCUACGCUUUGCUUGGUUCAACUGUGUCAGGUGUGCUUAGGCUAGAUCCUGGUUGUGAUAUUGCAUUCUCUUGCUUUAUCUGAUUGUGGGAAACUUAUCUGCUUUCUAACCGUCUGUUGCUUCAGACAACUUAUUGACCAUUUGACCUCAAAUCAGGUAGGACUACCCGCUGAACUUAA
RNAcentral lists this unclassified non-coding RNA (368 nucleotides) under Rhodocollybia olivaceogrisea. RNAcentral's name for it is "partial contains 5.8S ribosomal RNA, internal transcribed spacer 2, and large subunit ribosomal RNA". The record is from RNAcentral. Lineage: Eukaryota; Fungi; Basidiomycota; Agaricomycetes; Agaricales; Omphalotaceae.